Molecule: ribosomal RNA, 400 nt
Filed under: uncultured bacterium
Lineage: Bacteria
Description: bacterial SSU rRNA
Rfam family: Bacterial small subunit ribosomal RNA
Source: RNAcentral
ACGAGAAUAUUCCGCAAUGGGCGAAAGCCUGACGGAGCGACGCCGCGUGAUGGAUGAAGUGCUUCGGUACGUAAACAUCUUUUAUCGGAGACGAAGCUUAUUGACGGUACCCGAUGAAUAAGGGGCUCCUAACUCUGUGCCAGCAGGAGCGGUAAUACAGAGGCCCCGAGCAUUACCCGGAAUCACUGGGCGUAAAGGGUGUCGAGGCGGCCGCAUUAGUCUCUCGUCAAAUCCGCGGGCCUAACCCGCGGCGCGCGAGGGAAACGGUGCGGCUCGAGGGCGCGAGAGGUGCACGGAACUCAUGGUGGAGGGGUGAAAUCCGUUGAUAUCAUGGGGAACACCGAAGGCGAAGGCAGUGCACUGGCGCGUUCCUGACGCUCACACACGAAAGCCAGGGUAG